UGGGGAAUUUUGGACAAUGGGGGAAACCCUGAUCCAGCCAUCCCGCGUGUGCGAUGAAGGCCUUCGGGUUGUAAAGCACUUUUGGCAGGAAAGAAACGUCGCGGGUUAAUACCCCGCGAAACUGACGGUACCUGCAGAAUAAGCACCGGCUAACUACGUGCCAGCAGCCGCGGUAAUACGUAGGGUGCAAGCGUUAAUCGGAAUUACUGGGCGUAAAGCGUGCGCAGGCGGUUCGGAAAGAAAGAUGUGAAAUCCCAGAGCUUAACUUUGGAACUGCAUUUUUAACUACCGGGCUAGAGUGUGUCAGAGGGAGGUGGAAUUCCGCGUGUAGCAGUGAAAUGCGUAGAUAUGCGGAGGAACACCGAUGGCGAAGGCAGCCUCCUGGGAUAACACUGACGCUCAUGCACGAAAGCGUGGGGAGCAAACAGGAUUAGAUACCCUGGUAGUCCACGCCCUAAACGAUGUCAACUAGCUGUUGGGGCCUUCGGGCCUUGGUAGCGCAGCUAACGCGUGAAGUUGACCGCCUGGGGAGUACGAUCGCAAGAUUAAAACUCAAAGGAAUUGACGGGGGUCAUAGCUUUUUCCUG
RNAcentral lists this ribosomal RNA (587 nucleotides) under uncultured bacterium. RNAcentral's name for it is "partial 16S ribosomal RNA". It matches the Rfam family "Bacterial small subunit ribosomal RNA", at positions 355 to 935 of the family's 1533-position model. The record is from RNAcentral.